RNAcentral lists this ribosomal RNA (253 nucleotides) under uncultured bacterium. RNAcentral describes it as "partial 16S ribosomal RNA". It matches the Rfam family "Bacterial small subunit ribosomal RNA", at positions 524 to 776 of the family's 1533-position model. The record is from RNAcentral.
UACGGAGGGUGCAAGCGUUGUCCGGAUUUAUUGGGUUUAAAGGGUGCGUAGGCGGUUCUUUAAGUCCGGGGUGAAAGCCCACUGCUCAACAGUGGAACUGCCCUGGAAACUGGAGAACUUGAGUACAGACGAGGGCGGCGGAAUGGAUGGUGUAGCGGUGAAAUGCAUAGAUACCAUCCAGAACCCCGAUUGCGAAGGCAGCUGACUAGGCUGUUACUGACGCUGAGGCACGAAAGCGUGGGGAGCGAACAGG